Molecule: ribosomal RNA, 303 nt
Filed under: uncultured bacterium
Lineage: Bacteria
Description: bacterial SSU rRNA
Rfam family: Bacterial small subunit ribosomal RNA
Source: RNAcentral
GGCUAACUCCGUGCCAGCAGCCGCGGUAAUACGGAGGGUGCGAGCGUUAAUCGGAAUUACUGGGCGUAAAGCGCAUGCAGGCGGCCUGUUAAGUCAGAUGUGAAAAGCCCCGGGGCUUAACCUCGGAAUUGCAUUUGAAACUGGCAGGCUAGAGUCUUGUAGAGGGGGUAGAAUUUCAGGUGUAGCGGUGAAAAUGCGUAGAGAUCUGAAGGAAUACCAGUGGCGAAGGCGGCCCCCCUGGACAAAGACUGACGCUCAGAUGCGAAAGCGUGGGGAGCAAACAGGAUUAGAUACCCUCGGUAG